UGGGUCCCGUUCGGGUACCGUUACCGGUUCGGGUACCUAAGUCCUUAAUUUUGGGUUAUUUCCUUUCCUUCGUAGAAAACUACGAUGUCAUUAAUUUGGUGUCGUGGGGAAUCAGGACUGUUACUUUGAAAAAUUAGAGUGUUUAAAGCAGGCUCACGCUUGAAUACAUUAGCAUGGAAUAAUGAAAUAGGACGUUUGAUUCUAUUUUGUUGGUUUCUAGGAUCGACGUAAUGAUUAAUAGGGAUAGUUGGGGGCAUUAGUAUUCAAUUGUCAGAGGUGAAAUUCUUGGAUUUAUUGAAGACUAACUACUGCGAAAGCAUUUGCCAAGGAUGUUUUCAUUAAUCAAGAACGAAAGUUAGGGGAUCGAAGACGAUCAGAUACCGUCGUAGUCUUAACCAUAAACUAUGCCGACUAGGGAUCGGAUGAUGUUAAUUUUUAAUGACUC
This 445-nucleotide ribosomal RNA is filed under the name fungal sp. RNAcentral's name for it is "SSU rRNA". It matches the Rfam family "Eukaryotic small subunit ribosomal RNA", at positions 635 to 1077 of the family's 1831-position model. Lineage: Eukaryota; Fungi. The record is from RNAcentral.